Long non-coding RNA from Spea bombifrons (plains spadefoot toad), 422 nucleotides. RefSeq lists it as uncharacterized. The record is from RefSeq and is a predicted model, not a curated record. The transcript has 2 exons. NCBI's taxonomy places the organism in Eukaryota, Metazoa, Chordata, Amphibia, Anura, Pelobatidae.
GUUUCGCAUUCGAUUUGUCGAGUGGCUCCUUUCUUCCUUCUCUGUGACUUUUAAUCGGAAUGUUGGGCUCCUCGGUGCGCUGAAGGCGCUUCUCGCGUGGAAGAGUUCCGGAGACGGGAAGAUCGUUCUGUGGGGCCGCCGGGCCGUUUUUGUCUGCCGGCUUGUAGUCUGCUCUUUGUUUUGAGAACGUUGCUGGUUUUCCAGGCUGCGGAUUCCCGGCGGCGAGACCCUCUGUUGCAGUUCAGACUCGGCUGCUCGUCUGCCGACGGGGAAUGAAUGUCUUCUGCCGGAUCCAAGGACGCUGUUUGAUCUCCAGCUCCUGUUGUUUUUCGUGGCUCCAGGGGGCCGGGCUCGCUGCUGACCGCUUGAAAACCUCAGCUGAAAAUUUCUCUGAAUUCUGUGUAAAUAAAGAGGUGGUCCAA